Molecule: ribosomal RNA, 245 nt
Filed under: uncultured Desulfuromonadales bacterium
Lineage: Bacteria; Pseudomonadati; Thermodesulfobacteriota; Desulfuromonadia; Desulfuromonadales
Description: partial 16S ribosomal RNA
Rfam family: Bacterial small subunit ribosomal RNA
Source: RNAcentral
UACGGAGGGUGCAAGCGUUGUUCGGAAUUAUUGGGCGUAAAGCGCGUGUAGGCGGCUAUUUAAGUCUGAUGUGAAAGCCCGGGGCUCAACCUCGGAAGUGCAUUGGAAACUGGCAGGCUUGAGUCUGGUAGAGGAAAGUGGAAUUCCUGGUGUAGCGGUGAAAUGCGCAGAUAUCAGGAGGAACACCAGUGGCGAAGGCGGCUACCUGGACCGAUACUGACGCUGAGACGCGAAAGCGUGGGGAG